Long non-coding RNA from Dendroctonus ponderosae (mountain pine beetle), 441 nucleotides. RefSeq lists it as uncharacterized. Lineage: Eukaryota; Metazoa; Arthropoda; Insecta; Coleoptera; Curculionidae. The transcript is spliced from 2 exons. The record is from RefSeq and is a predicted model, not a curated record.
UGCAAGUUGCAAGUACUCAGUCAUGGUUUGAAAAAUGUAAAUCCCCAGCCUCGGAUGGGUUUGAAUAAUUCAUUCUUUCGCCUAGUAUUUAAUUGAGGAUUUUCCUGCAAUCCACAUCAUAUUCCUGCUGAUUUCGACACCGUUUUAAUCAUGAAAUAUUCAGUCGCAGUGUGCGCUUUAGUGAUGGUUUUGUACGCGGUUGCAUACAAAGUGGAAAGUUCUUCACUUCGUGAAGAUGUUUACUUGUGCUUGAACAAUAUUUGCCAACAAUGGUGUAGAAGAAACCACCCUGGAAUGCAAGAAGACUGUUCCUUUACGACUCCAGCUGGACCUCAUUGUCGAUGCAAACCGCUGUCGCGACCGCUGAAGAUUUGAGGUUUAAUUCAAAACACUUCUUUGAUUUUAUACAACUUUUGAAUACAAGAAAAUUAUUUAAGUUUU